Brachypodium distachyon (stiff brome) is the source of this 843-nucleotide long non-coding RNA. RefSeq lists it as uncharacterized. Lineage: Eukaryota; Viridiplantae; Streptophyta; Magnoliopsida; Poales; Poaceae. The record is from RefSeq and is a predicted model, not a curated record. The transcript is spliced from 2 exons.
AGCACAUCGAACCAAACACAUAGCUAACCAGAGCAUGGCCCAUGCGAGCUGACCAGCCGGGCUAGCCCAGCUAUAGCUUUGUUGGGAGAUGGAACCAAACGCGCCCCAAUUCUCCCGACCCAGUUGCCUCCCGCGUUUCCCACCUCGCUCAUUUUCCCACCCGCGCAGUCUCUCGCGAUUUAGCGCGAAACCUAGAGAAGCAGCGGCGGCGGCGGCGACGAGUGCGGCCACCGGCUACUCCGCGAUCUGCCAAGGUAAAUACUACUUAGUUGAUGCCGGCUAUGGGGCUAAGCCUGGAUUCCUCCCUCCCUUCUGCAGUACAAGAUACCACCUCAAUGAAUGGGGACACCAUCCAGUUGAAAAUGCAGAGGAAUUAUUUAAUCUUGGGCACUCUUCCCUUCGCAUGAAAGUAGAGUGUGCAUUUGGGUCCCUCAAGAGAAGAUUCAAAGUCCUAGAUGAUAUUAAGCCUUUUUUUCCCAUACCUGACUCAAGUUGAUAUAGUUCAAGCAUGUUGCAUCAUACGUAAUUGGAUGUUGAGUGAUGGGGCAGAUGAUUUUUUUAUGGAAGCACAAACUGAGCCACCUCAAGAAACAACAUUUCAUGUCCAUGCUACAACUACAAGAGAACAAGCUAGGGAACAUCAAGCCAUUGUUACUCGUAGGAAUAAUAUAGCAAAUGCAAUGUGGGCAGCCCGUGCAGAAUACUUGGCAAACCAGGGUGCUUAGAUUGUUUCUUAUGCAAUAUUGAUGUUAUAUUUUCUAUCGGAUAUUCAUGUAAUGAGGUGACACAAUUUGUGUACCAUUCGUGGGUGAAAAUAUGCAUUUAUUAUGAACUUAUUUACAA